GCUUAACACAUGCAAGUCGAGGGGCAUCAGGAAGAAAGCUUGCUUUCUUUGCUGGCGACCGGCGCACGGGUGAGUAACACGUAUCCAACCUGCCCUUUACUCGGGGAUAGCCUUUCGAAAGAAAGAUUAAUACCCGAUAGCAUAAUGAUUCCGCAUGGUUUCAUUAUUAAAGGAUUCCGGUAAAGGAUGGGGAUGCGUUCCAUUAGGUUGUUGGUGAGGUAACGGCCCACCAAGCCUUCGAUGGAUAGGGGUUCUGAGAGGAAGGUCCCCCACAUUGGAACUGAGACACGGUCCAAACUCCUACGGGAGGCAGCAGUGAGGAAUAUUGGUCAAUGGGCGCUAGCCUGAACCAGCCAAGUAGCGUGAAGGAUGAAGGCUCUAUGGGUCGUAAACUUCUUUUAUAUAAGAAUAAAGUGCAGUAUGUAUACUGUUUUGUAUGUAUUAUAUGAAUAAGGAUCGGCUAACUCCGUGCCAGCAGCCGCGGUAAUACGGAGGAUCCGAGCGUUAUCCGGAUUUAUUGGGUUUAAAGGGAGCGUAGGUGGACUGGUAAGUCAGUUGUGAAAGUUUGCGGCUCAACCGUAAAAUUGCAGUUGAUACUGUCAGUCUUGAGUACAGUAGAGGUGGGCGGAAUUCGUGGUGUAGCGGUGAAAUGCUUAGAUAUCACGAAGAACUCCGAUUGCGAAGGCAGCUCACUGGACUGCAACUGACACUGAUGCUCGAAAGUGUGGGUAUCAAACAGGAUUAGAUACCCUGGUAGUCCACACAGUAAACGAUGAAUACUCGCUGUUUGCGAUAUACAGUAAGCGGCCAAGCGAAAGCAUUAAGUAUUCCACCUGGGGAGUACGCCGGCAACGGUGAAACUCAAAGGAAUUGACGGGGGCCCGCACAAGCGGAGGAACAUGUGGUUUAAUUCGAUGAUACGCGAGGAACCUUACCCGGGCUUAAAUUGCAGUGGAAUGAUGUGGAAACAUGUCAGUGAGCAAUCACCGCUGUGAAGGUGCUGCAUGGUUGUCGUCAGCUCGUGCCGUGAGGUGUCGGCUUAAGUGCCAUAACGAGCGCAACCCUUAUCUUUAGUUACUAACAGGUUAUGCUGAGGACUCUAGAGAGACUGCCGUCGUAAGAUGUGAGGAAGGUGGGGAUGACGUCAAAUCAGCACGGCCCUUACGUCCGGGGCUACACACGUGUUACAAUGGGGGGUACAGAAGGCAGCUAGCGGGUGACCGUAUGCUAAUCCCAAAAUCCUCUCUCAGUUCGGAUCGAAGUCUGCAACCCGACUUCGUGAAGCUGGAUUCGCUAGUAAUCGCGCAUCAGCCACGGCGCGGUGAAUACGUUCCCGGGCCUUGUACACACCGCCCGUCAAGCCAUGGGAGCCGGGGGUACCUGAAGUACGUAACCGCAAGGAUCGUCCUAGGGUAAAACUGGUGACUGGGGCUAA
This 1435-nucleotide ribosomal RNA is filed under the name uncultured organism. RNAcentral's name for it is "16S ribosomal RNA". It matches the Rfam family "Bacterial small subunit ribosomal RNA". The record is from RNAcentral.